Long non-coding RNA from Zonotrichia albicollis (white-throated sparrow), 1724 nucleotides. RefSeq lists it as uncharacterized. Lineage: Eukaryota; Metazoa; Chordata; Aves; Passeriformes; Passerellidae. The record is from RefSeq and is a predicted model, not a curated record.
AUGAAAGGGGGGCAGAAAAGUUGUAACUCACUGAAAACAUUACCAUAUAUUCCUUGAAAUUACACAUUAUUACAUAAAUUUUAAAAUUUUAUGAGCGCGUUAAAAAAAGAACUGGUUACCAAGUAGAGUUGUCCAUCAUUAACAGAAUUUAAAAGACACUACAGGAAUCAAGAAAUUUGAAAAUAACUCAAAAUAAAGUUUUACUGUUUCAAAAAAUGAUGCUAUCUUGCAAUACUAUUUUAAGGAAAAUAUAACACCAUACUCAACUCCUGCCCCUGUGAAGAAAGCAUUUGAGAAAAAAAAAAUCUGAAGUUUGUUUUUACCCUCUUUCACCAUCUUUGGGUGAACACAAGUAAUAAAACAUGCCACUUUUUUUUUUUUUUAUCCUUCUAUGUAAUGAUCUUAGAGGAAUGUUGCUAUUUUCUUACCUAGAAGCUGAAUAAUAAAAGAUGCAAACCCAUAGCAAUAUACUGUAGAAGAAGCAUCAGGAUUUUGAAAUCCUCAGCAUUCUGUGCAAUGAUUUUCAAGAAAACCAAAAAAACAAACUCAACAGUUUAAGAAACCCGUCUGUGACCCAAAUAUCCGUUGUGUUAAUCUUAGUAUUCCACAGAAUAAAUUGUGUUCCAAAUGCCAGGGCUGAUUGAAAAAACACCCCCCCCCCCUCCUUUUUUCAAUGUCAAAGCUGCAUAUGUAUACCAGUGGGUGCCAGAGAAGAUACUGCAGCACUGACUUAGUAACAAGAGGGACUACACUGAAAUCAGGAUUAAAAAUCAACUCAGCUCUUUCAGUUCUCCAGCAAAUGAAAGCUCACACCACACAUUGCAUCCCAGCUUGCCAAGUCGUGGUCAAACUCUCCUCCAACUCUCAUACUGAAACAGUGCUGCCAUGCCAGUAUAUUCUGUCUUGAAGAAGAAAUUAAGUAUACCAAAAAAAGAAGAGGAAAUAUAUUUCAGGAAACUUGAACAGGUUCCCUGCCAGCAGUUUUCAGUCAGAGAGAUACCAGCAGAUGAGAGGAACGAUGACAGCACCUUUGCUCACAAAAGUGUCCUAAAGAUGAUUUAGUACGUGUCAUUAUGAAGUUCUGUGAAACACUAAUUAGUCAUGUCAUUGGAAAGAGCACAAGUAUCAAUGAAAAAACCUGUUUCCAGAGAGAAGGUUGAAGGCUGUGAAGAACAGGUGGCUUAACACUAUGAACUGAUCAACCUGAAUGAAGCAAUUUUAAUUCAAUGAAGACCUCGGAAAAAAGAAAGCAAGAAUAAAUGGGGGAAAGGGUGCGACAACUAUAUCAAUUAAAAAAAUUGUAUCAGAUGGUAUACACUGAAAGAAGCUGUACUUUUAUGUAUAAACACAAGAUUUAGAUGCAGUUUUGAAACCCUAAUGUUCUCCUACUGUAGUGUGCAGCUCUGUGUCCAUACACACAUACAUCAAGGUGAUAAAACUCUGUAUUUAUUCUAAGUAUAAUAAUUAGUUACAGUAAAAGAAUUUAUAAAUAAAACUGUCACCAUAUCACUUCCUCAAUUAUAAGAAACCCUAUUACUAUCACAUUAUUACCCAAACAGGCAGCCCUAAGGAAAACAUCAGCCCUGCCAAAGUAUCUAUCACCCUAGAGCAAAUUCUUAACAUGUAUCAGUGAGGAGUUCUGAAUAUAUAGAAAGAAAAUAACCUGGUCAAAGCAGUUUCUAUACUGUCAUCACCAAAUACAAUUAAAUUUAUGUAGUUUCCUA